RNAcentral lists this ribosomal RNA (460 nucleotides) under uncultured bacterium. RNAcentral describes it as "partial 16S ribosomal RNA". It matches the Rfam family "Bacterial small subunit ribosomal RNA", at positions 338 to 795 of the family's 1533-position model. The record is from RNAcentral.
CCUACGGGAGGCAGCAGUGAGGAAUAUUGGUCAAUGGCCGUAAGGCUGAACCAGCCAAGCCGCGUGAAGGAAGAAGGAUCCAUGGUUUGUAAACUUCUUUUAUCGGGGAAUAAAGGCAUCCACGUGAGGAUAUCUGCAUGUACCCUAAGAAAAAGCAUCGGCUAACUCCGUGCCAGCAGCCGCGGUAAUACGGAGGAUGCGAGCGUUAUCCGGAUUUAUUGGGUUUAAAGGGUGCGAAGGUUGUUUUUUAAGUCAGCGGGUAAAGUUUGUGGCUCAACCAUAAGAUUGCCGUUGAAACGGGAAGACUUGAGAGUGUUAGAGGUAGGCGGAAUGCGUGGUGUAGCGGUGAAAUGCAUAGAUAUCGCGCAGAACUCCGAUUGCGAAGGCAGCUUACUAGGCCAUAACUGACGCUGAGGCACGAAAGCGUGGGGAUCGAACAGGAUUAGAUACCCGGGUAGUC